RNAcentral lists this transfer RNA (66 nucleotides) under Amphiophiura penichra. Its description in RNAcentral is "tRNA-Ala". Lineage: Eukaryota; Metazoa; Echinodermata; Ophiuroidea; Amphilepidida; Ophiuridae. The record is from RNAcentral.
AUAGUGGUAGUUAAAUUAUAAUUUUGGAAUUGCACUUUGAGGUUGGGUUUAUUAACCCUCACUAUG